AAAUGCGAUAAGUAAUGUGAAUUGCAGAAUUCAGUGAAUCAUCGAAUCUUUGAACGCACAUUGCGCCCGCCAGUAUUCUGGCGGGCAUGCCUGUCCGAGCGUCAUUUCAACCAUCAAGCCCCCGGGCUUGUGUUGGGGACCUGCGGCUGCCCGCAGGCCCUGAAAACCAGUGGCGGGCUCGCUGUCACACCGAGCGUAGUAGCAAUCACCUCGCUCAGGGCGUGCUGCGGGUUCCGGCCGUUAAACAGCCUUACAAACCCAAGGUUGACCUCGGAUCAGGUAGGAAGACCCGCUGAACUUAAGC
RNAcentral lists this unclassified non-coding RNA (304 nucleotides) under plant metagenome. RNAcentral's name for it is "partial contains 5.8S ribosomal RNA, internal transcribed spacer 2, and large subunit ribosomal RNA". The stretch from base 1 to 104 matches the Rfam family "5.8S ribosomal RNA", at positions 51 to 154 of the family's 154-position model. The record is from RNAcentral.